UUUUUUUAAAGAAAUCGUAACACACGCACGAACGGAAGUGAGCACGGACCACAACAGAAGCAAUAUUCAAUUGGUUGGAGUGCCGAAAACAGAACAGGAGAGGAAAGAAGGCAGGAACGAUUCGAUCCUCCAACGUGCUAGCGCCUGGUAGAGGAGAAGCGGCAGGAAGGUAGAGACGAACAUCCACCUCGCUAGUGCAGCACGUGGGAGCAGCAAGAGGGAAGCAAGCAGGACGCGUACACACCAUUCGACGAAGGCAAAGCUGGAGGAAAGGAAGAACGAGGAGAGAAGGCAGGCAAGACGGGUACGUGUGUAUCCCGCACCGAUUUUCGGCAGUGUGAAUUGUGUGAGUAUUUAAAAGUGUAUGUGCGAGUAAAGAGGUAAAAAUAAAGAGCGAAUGUGUGGAAUGGAAAAUGAGAGAGAGUCUGAGUUUGUUUUGGGAGAAAGGAGAGAAUAAAGAAAUUGUACAAUAAUGUAGCAUACAGAAACUACAUGUAUGAUACACGCUGUCGCACGGUUGCAGAAACGUGCUCUUUAGUGCUGCUAAUGAGCACGAUUUGAGAACGUUUUGAGCCCAUUUUUUCUCAUACAAAAUUUUAAAAUGUCGCGCGAUAAUGUCGGUUGGGUGGCGCCCGAUUAGACGAUCCGAUAGAAGCACUUUUCAGGCUUAACGGAUUGAGCGAGAUACACCGUCGCGGCGACACGAUACAUGUUGCAUACAUGUGUACUACAUUUUAAGAGCCCCCCUCGCUUUCUUUCGGAUUGCAAUGAGUUCAGACACACUUAAAACUUCGUUUAACAUAUUUCAUAUUCGUUUUUUUUAUUUUCACUUUCUUUUCUGAAGUACAUUCUUUCAUACACACAUCCUCCCCCAGGUAUUUUUCGAAGAAACUAAAAAAAAACUAACGCACACAACUAGAUCCGCGAGAGAGUGCGAAUCGGCAAAGAAAAAAAAAACAUACACACACACACACACACACACACACAUACACACACACUAACACCUCCUCCUCCCCUUGGUGUUUUUCGCAAAGUGAUCCCGUAGAACGUGAACGCAAAAACACACACACAAAGCACGCAGGCAAGCACACACAUACCUCACUCCUCCCCCCCCCACGUGUUUUCGCAAGGUGAUUCCGUAGGAGAUCGCCAAACAGCAAAAGCACACAUACACACACAUACACAGCCAUGCACGUAUGCAAGCACACAUACACACACAUACACAGCCAUGCACGCAUGCAAGCACACAUACACACACAUACACAGCCACGCACGCAUGCAAGCACACACACACAUACACACACACCUACCCCUCCCCCUCUCUUGGUGUUUUUCGCAAGGUGAUCCCGUAGGAUCUCGUUAUGCGAAGCGGCAAAAACACACACAGCCACGCACGCAGGC
This is a long non-coding RNA of Anopheles coluzzii, 1401 nucleotides long. RefSeq lists it as uncharacterized. The record is from RefSeq and is a predicted model, not a curated record. The transcript is spliced from 2 exons. NCBI's taxonomy places the organism in Eukaryota, Metazoa, Arthropoda, Insecta, Diptera, Culicidae.